GUGGGGAAUCUUAGACAAUGGGGGAAACCCUGAUCUAGCCAUGCCGCGUGAGCGAUGAAGGCCUUAGGGUUGUAAAGCUCUUUCAGCUGGGAAGAUAAUGACGGUACCAGCAGAAGAAGCCCCGGCUAACUCCGUGCCAGCAGCCGCGGUAAUACGGAGGGGGCUAGCGUUGUUCGGAAUUACUGGGCGUAAAGCGCGCGUAGGCGGACCAGAAAGUUGGAGGUGAAAUCCCAGGGCUCAACCUUGGAACUGCCUUCAAAACUCCUGGUCUGGAGUUCGAGAGAGGUGAGUGGAAUUCCGAGUGUAGAGGUGAAAUUCGCAGAUAUUCGGAGGAACACCAGUGGCGUAGGCGCCCAACUGGCUAGAUACUGACGCUGAGGCACGAAAGCGUGGGGAGCAAACAGGAUUAGAUACCCCGGUAGUCC
RNAcentral lists this ribosomal RNA (425 nucleotides) under uncultured bacterium. Its description in RNAcentral is "partial 16S ribosomal RNA". It matches the Rfam family "Bacterial small subunit ribosomal RNA", at positions 354 to 796 of the family's 1533-position model. The record is from RNAcentral.